AGGACAAACGCUGGCGGCGUGCAUAACACAUGCAAGUCGAACGAGGGUAGCGAUACUCGAGUGGCGGACGGGUGAGGAACACGUGGAUGACCGACCUUUUACUGGGGAAUACCCGUGGGAAACCACGGCUAAUACCGCAUACGUUCGCGAGAAGAAAGCCUUCGGGCGGUAAGAGACGGGUCUGCGGUCGAUUAGCUAGUUGGUGCGGUAACGGCGUACCAAGGCGACGAUCGAUAGCUGGUCUGAGAGGAUGAUCAGCCACAUUGGGAUUGAGAACGGCCCAAAUCCCUACGGGGAGCAGCAGUGAGGAAUAUCGGCAAUGGGCGCAAGCCUGACCGAGCGACGCCGCGUGGGGAUGACGCAUUUCGGUGUGUAAACCCCUUUUCUGUGGGACGAGAAUGGACGGUACCACAGGAAUAAGUCUCGGCUAACUACGUGCCAGCAGCCGC
RNAcentral lists this ribosomal RNA (449 nucleotides) under uncultured bacterium. RNAcentral's name for it is "SSU rRNA". It matches the Rfam family "Bacterial small subunit ribosomal RNA", at positions 26 to 518 of the family's 1533-position model. The record is from RNAcentral.